Molecule: ribosomal RNA, 315 nt
Filed under: uncultured eukaryote
Lineage: Eukaryota
Description: partial 18S ribosomal RNA
Rfam family: Eukaryotic small subunit ribosomal RNA
Source: RNAcentral
CCCUUAGACGUUCUGGGCCGCACGCGCGCUACACUGACCAGUGCAACAAGCAUCCGUCCUUGGCCGACAGGCCCGGGCAAUCUUUGAACGCUGGUCGUGAUGGGGAUAGACUUUUGCAAUUUUUGUUCUUCAACGAGGAAUUCCUAGUAAACGCAAGUCAUCAACUUGCAUUGAUUACGUCCCUGCCCUUUGUACACACCGCCCGUCGCACCUACCGAUUGAAUGGUCCGGUGAAGCCUCCGGAUUGGCGCGCACCUCGGUGCCGCCGAGAAGUUGGCUAAACCUUACCAUUUAGAGGAAGGUGAAGUCGUAACA